CAGCAGCCGCGGUAAUACCGGCGGCCCGAGUGGCGGUCACUAUUAUUGGGCUUAAAACGUCCGUAGCCGGGUUGGGAAGUCCUCCGGGAAAUCUGGCCGCUUAACGGUCAGAAUGCCGGAGGAUACUCCCAGCCUAGGGAGCGGGAGAGGCCGAGGGGAUUCCCGGAGUAGGGGGGAAAUCCUAUAAUCCCGGGAGGACCACCUGUGGCGAAGGCGCUCGGCUGGAACGCGUCCGACGGUGAGGGACGAAGGCCAGGGGAGCAAACCGGAUUAGAUACCCGGGUAGUCCUGGCGGUAAACGAUGCGGACUUUGUGUCGGACAAGCUAUGAGCUUGUCCGGUGCCGGAGGGAAACCGUUAAGUCCGCCGCCUGGGGAGUACGGCCGCAAGGCUGAAACUUAAAGGAAUUGGCGGG
Molecule: ribosomal RNA, 414 nt
Filed under: uncultured microorganism
Description: bacterial SSU rRNA
Rfam family: Archaeal small subunit ribosomal RNA
Source: RNAcentral